AUUGAACGCUGGCGGCAUGCCUUACACAUGCAAGUCGAACGGUAACAGGUUAAGCUGACGAGUGGCGAACGGGUGAGUAAUACAUCGGAACGUGCCCAGUAGCGGGGGAUAGCGCGGCGAAAGCCGGAUUAAUACCGCAUACGACCUAAGGGUGAAAGGGGGGGAUCGCAAGACCUCUCGCUAUUGGAGCGGCCGAUGUCAGAUUAGCUAGUUGGUGGGGUAAAAGCUCACCAAGGCGACGAUCUGUAGCUGGUCUGAGAGGACGACCAGCCACACUGGGACUGAGACACGGCCCAGACUCCUACGGGAGGCAGCAGUGGGGAAUUUUGGACAAUGGGCGCAAGCCUGAUCCAGCCAUGCCGCGUGCGUGAAGAAGGCCUUCGGGUUGUAAACCGCUUUUGUCAGGGAAGAAAUCCUUUGGGUUAAUACCUCGGGGGGAUGACGGUACCUGAAGAAUAAGCACCGGCUAACUACGUG
RNAcentral lists this ribosomal RNA (477 nucleotides) under uncultured bacterium. RNAcentral describes it as "partial 16S ribosomal RNA". It matches the Rfam family "Bacterial small subunit ribosomal RNA", at positions 30 to 507 of the family's 1533-position model. The record is from RNAcentral.